GCGAACGUUGUGCAAGCAGCGGGGGGAGUCAGCAAGGUGCGAGCGGUGUUCGGAGUGACGUGGCGUAAAGGGCGCGCAGGCGGCAGACACAGUCAGGCGGGAAAGCCCCGUGCUUAACCUUGGAACUGCGUCUGUGACUGGUUUGCUAGGGAUCGGGAGAGGAGAGUGGAAUUCCCAGUGUAGAGGUGAAAUUCGUAGAUAUUGGGAAGAACACCGGUGGCGAAGGCGGCUCUCUGGACCGAGACUGACGCUGAGGCGCGAAAGCGUGGGGAGCAAACAGGAUUAGAUACCCGAGUAGUC
This 300-nucleotide ribosomal RNA is filed under the name uncultured Bacillus sp. Its description in RNAcentral is "bacterial SSU rRNA". It matches the Rfam family "Bacterial small subunit ribosomal RNA", at positions 496 to 795 of the family's 1533-position model. Lineage: Bacteria; Bacillati; Bacillota; Bacilli; Caryophanales; Bacillaceae. The record is from RNAcentral.